CCUCUCCAACUUACAGCCCAAGUUCACCCGGUUAUAGCCCAACAAGUCCUACCUACUCACCCACUUCACCUAGCUACUCCCCUACCUCACCAAGCUACUCACCCACAUCACCUAGCUACAGCCCUACAUCGCCAGCUUACAGCCCGACCUCUCCGGCUUACAGCCCGACCUCUCCUUCCUACAGCCCGACAUCACCAUCCUACAGCCCAACCUCACCCUCCUACAGCCCAACCUCACCCUCUUACAGCCCGACCUCUCCUUCCUACAGCCCAACAUCACCAUCCUACAGCCCGACCUCCCCUUCCUACAGCCCAACCUCCCCUGCUUACAGCCCAACUUCACCUGGGUACAGUCCUACUUCCCCAAGCUACAGUCCUACUUCUCCAAGUUACAGUCCCACCUCACCAAGUUACAACCCUUCAUCCGCUAAGUACAGCCCCUCGUUGGCUUAUUCUCCUAGUAGUCCAUACAGCCCUACAUCCCCCAACUAC
Molecule: long non-coding RNA, 491 nt
Filed under: Lactuca sativa (garden lettuce)
Lineage: Eukaryota; Viridiplantae; Streptophyta; Magnoliopsida; Asterales; Asteraceae
Description: long non-coding RNA (LSAT_LNC000060)
Source: RNAcentral